GGNAUCAAUGGUUUGACGAUAAAAAAACUGUCUUUCUUUACUGGCUUUUAAAUUAUCUUAAGAGUGAAGAGACUCUUUUGUUAUAGCGGGACGAGAAGACCCCGUUGAGCUUUAACGAGUAUUAUUAGUUUUAUAAUUACUGGUUUUAGUUGGGGCAACUAUUUCUCUUUAUUAAACAGAAAUAAAACUAUCUCGAAUUGAAUCAAUUAUGACCCCUAAUUAUUAGGAGAAAUAAAAUAAGUUACCACGGGGAUAACAGCGUAAUUUUUUUUGAGAGUUCUUAUUGACAAAAAAGUUUGCGACCUCGAUGUU
RNAcentral lists this ribosomal RNA (312 nucleotides) under Ophiothela mirabilis. Its description in RNAcentral is "partial large subunit ribosomal RNA". It matches the Rfam family "Bacterial large subunit ribosomal RNA", at positions 1989 to 2533 of the family's 2925-position model. The record is from RNAcentral. Lineage: Eukaryota; Metazoa; Echinodermata; Ophiuroidea; Amphilepidida; Ophiotrichidae.